Molecule: transfer-messenger RNA, 374 nt
Filed under: Deltaproteobacteria bacterium
Lineage: Bacteria; Pseudomonadati; Myxococcota; Myxococcia
Also listed under: 1 other name
Rfam family: transfer-messenger RNA
About the family: Bacterial tmRNA, also known as 10Sa RNA or SsrA, is named for its dual tRNA and mRNA-like properties. Its role is to liberate the mRNA from a stalled ribosome.
Source: RNAcentral
GGGGGCGAAACGGUUUCGACGGGGCGGUGCAAGCCGAGGCUGCGUGUCGGGGGUGCUGGUGACCUCGUUAAAACAACCGGCAAAAAAUCAAGUGCCAACAACAACAAGCACUUCGCUCUCGCUGCUUAGUCAGUAGAUAGCCGUCCGAGCUGGCAAUACCAGGGUUCCAGUUUCGGGCGUGUCACGACCUGGUUAGUCCUGACCUGUGCAGGGGCGCAGUGGGUGGGGACGAUAAACAACCCAACAAAGUCGCUUCCAACGUUGGCUUAGGGUCGGCCACUGAACCCGGUCAGCGUCGUAAAUCAGGGGCUACACACGUAGAUGCCGACGUAGAUCCGUCUCGGACGCGGGUUCGACUCCCGCCGCCUCCACUC